RNAcentral lists this small RNA (92 nucleotides) under Klebsiella pneumoniae. RNAcentral's name for it is "partial RtT sRNA". It matches the Rfam family "RtT RNA", at positions 1 to 90 of the family's 130-position model. From Rfam's summary of the family: This family represents a bacterial cis-regulatory element known as RtT RNA. The exact function of RtT is unknown although it is thought that it may be involved in changing the cellular response in relation to amino acid starvation. The record is from RNAcentral. Lineage: Bacteria; Pseudomonadati; Pseudomonadota; Gammaproteobacteria; Enterobacterales; Enterobacteriaceae.
UGUUUGCACUUAGCGGGAAGGGUAAGAACCUUCGACUAAGGUUCGACUCGAGCGCCAGCGAGAGAACGUUGCCGCAGGCAACGGCCCGAAGG